This is a non-coding RNA of Capsicum annuum, 108 nucleotides long. The record is from Rfam. Lineage: Eukaryota; Viridiplantae; Streptophyta; Magnoliopsida; Solanales; Solanaceae.
AUAUCAUUGUUUGGGCAUUUGGCCAACAUUCCAUGGAAUCUCUCCCAUACUUCAUAUAGGGGCUCUCCAUUCUUUUUCCUAAAAUUCAUAAUUUCAUCCCUUGAGUCA